RNAcentral lists this unclassified non-coding RNA (229 nucleotides) under uncultured fungus. RNAcentral's name for it is "sequence contains ITS1, 5.8S rRNA gene". Lineage: Eukaryota; Fungi. The record is from RNAcentral.
AAAAUCCUUCACCCUGGAUGAAAGUCCGGGUGGACCAGCCACUGGGGCUCUAAACCUACGCAUAGCCAGCGUCGUCUUGACCUCUCGACCACGUGUGGUGCGCGUCACUUCAAACCACUGUGAAACUUCCCGUUGCUUCGGCGGCAUGCCCAGCGCUGUCAGCCCGUCCGAGGCCCCACCGCAAACCAUUUCUGUAAACUUCUGUCAGUAUACGAAAAGUAAAUCGUUA